This 434-nucleotide ribosomal RNA is filed under the name uncultured Lachnospiraceae bacterium. RNAcentral's name for it is "partial 16S ribosomal RNA". It matches the Rfam family "Bacterial small subunit ribosomal RNA", at positions 341 to 792 of the family's 1533-position model. Lineage: Bacteria; Bacillati; Bacillota; Clostridia; Lachnospirales; Lachnospiraceae. The record is from RNAcentral.
ACGGAAGGCAGCAGUGGGGAAUAUUGCACAAUGGGGGAAACCCUGAUGCAGCGACGCCGCGUGAGUGAAGAAGUUAUUCGUAAUGUAAAGCUCUAUCAGCAGGGAAGAAAAUGACGGUACCUGACUAAGAAGCCCCGGCUAACUACGUGCCAGCAGCCGCGGUAAUACGUAAGGGGCAAGCGUUAUCCGGAUUUACUGGGUGUAAAGGGAGCGUAGACGGUCUAGCAAGUCUGAUGUGAAAGGCAGGGGCUCAACUCCUGGACUGCAUUGGAAACUGUUAGUCUUGAGUGUCGGAGAGGUAAGCGGAAUUCCUAGUGUAGCGGUGAAAUGCGUAGAUAUUAGGAGGAACACCAGUGGCGAAGGCGGCUUACUGGACGAUAACUGACGUUGAGGCUCGAAAGCGUGGGGAGCAAACAGGAUUAGAUACCCUGGUA